UACGGGGGGGGUAAGCGUUGUUCGGAAUUAUUGGGCGUAAAGGGCUCGUAGGCGGUUUGUCGCGUCGGGAGUGAAAACCCAGGGCUUAACUCUGGGCUUGCUUUCGAUACGGGCAGACUAGAGGCAUGCAGGGGAGAACGGAAUUCCUGGUGUAGCGGUGAAAUGCGCAGAUAUCAGGAGGAACACCGGUGGCGAAGGCGGUUCUCUGGGCAUGUCCUGACGCUGAGGAGCGAAAGUGUGGGGAGCGAACAGG
Molecule: ribosomal RNA, 253 nt
Filed under: uncultured bacterium
Lineage: Bacteria
Description: partial 16S ribosomal RNA
Rfam family: Bacterial small subunit ribosomal RNA
Source: RNAcentral